Molecule: ribosomal RNA, 385 nt
Filed under: uncultured bacterium
Lineage: Bacteria
Description: bacterial SSU rRNA
Rfam family: Bacterial small subunit ribosomal RNA
Source: RNAcentral
AUUGAACGCUGGCGGCAGGCUUAACACAUGCAAGUCGAACGGUAACAUAAAGAAGCUUGCUUCUUUGAUGACGAGUGGCGGACGGGUGAGUAAUGCUUGGGAAUCUAGCUUAUGGAGGGGGAUAACUACGGGAAACUGUAGCUAAUACCGCGUAGAAUCGGGAGAUGAAAGUGUGGGACCUUCGGGCCACAUGCCAUAGGAUGAGCCCAAGUGGGAUUAGGUAGUUGGUGAGGUAAAGGCUCACCAAGCCGACGAUCUCUAGCUGGUCUGAGAGGAUGACCAGCCACACUGGGACUGAGACACGGCCCAGACUCCUACGGGAGGCAGCAGUGGGGAAUAUUGCGCAAUGGGGGCAACCCUGACGCAGCCAUGCCGCGUGAAUGAA